GUCGAGGGGCAGCGGGGGUGCAGGCUUGCCUGCGCCUGCCGGCGACCGGCGCACGGGUGAGUAACACGUAUGGAACCUGCCCGCCACAGGGGGAUAACCCGGGGAAACCCGGCCUAAUACCCCAUGCCGUCCGGACCGGGCAUCCGGUCCGGGCGAAAGGAGGAAUCCGGUGGCGGCUGGGCAUGCGGCGCAUUAGCUUGACGGCGGGGUAACGGCCCACCGUGGCGACGAUGCGUAGGGGUUCUGAGAGGAAGGCCCCCCACACUGGAACUGAGACACGGUCCAGACUCCUACGGGAGGCAGCAGUGAGGAAUAUUGGUCAAUGGGCGGAAGCCUGAACCAGCCAAGUCGCGUGAGGGAAUAAGGCCCUACGGGUCGUAAACCUCUUUUGCCGGGGAGCAAGGGCCGGGACGCGUCCCGGCCCGGAGAGUACCCGGAGAAAAAGCAUCGGCUAACUCCGUGCCAGCAGCCGCGGUAAUACGGAGGAUGCGAGCGUUAUCCGGAUUUAUUGGGUUUAAAGGGUGCGUAGGCGGGCUUUUAAGUCAGCGGUAAAAAUUCGGGGCUCAACCCCGUCCGGCCGUUGAAACUGGGGGCCUUGAGUGGGCGAGAAGAAGGCGGAAUGCGUGGUGUAGCGGUGAAAUGCAUAGAUAUCACGCAGAACCCCGAUUGCGAAGGCAGCCUUCCGGCGCCCUACUGACGCUGAGGCACGGAAGUGCGGGGAUCGAACAGGAUUAGAUACCCUGGUAGUCCGCACAGUAAACGAUGGGUGCCAGCUG
RNAcentral lists this ribosomal RNA (776 nucleotides) under uncultured bacterium. RNAcentral describes it as "bacterial SSU rRNA". It matches the Rfam family "Bacterial small subunit ribosomal RNA", at positions 61 to 822 of the family's 1533-position model. The record is from RNAcentral.